This 648-nucleotide ribosomal RNA is filed under the name Pantoea ananatis. RNAcentral describes it as "bacterial SSU rRNA". It matches the Rfam family "Bacterial small subunit ribosomal RNA", at positions 82 to 725 of the family's 1533-position model. Lineage: Bacteria; Pseudomonadati; Pseudomonadota; Gammaproteobacteria; Enterobacterales; Erwiniaceae. The record is from RNAcentral.
UCUCGGGUGACGAGUGGCGGACGGGUGAGUAAUGUCUGGGGAUCUGCCCGAUAGAGGGGGAUAACCACUGGAAACGGUGGCUAAUACCGCAUAACGUCGCAAGACCAAAGAGGGGGACCUUCGGGCCUCUCACUAUCGGAUGAACCCAGAUGGGAUUAGCUAGUAGGCGGGGUAACGGCCCACCUAGGCGACGAUCCCUAGCUGGUCUGAGAGGAUGACCAGCCACACUGGAACUGAGACACGGUCCAGACUCCUACGGGAGGCAGCAGUGGGGAAUAUUGCACAAUGGGCGCAAGCCUGAUGCAGCCAUGCCGCGUGUAUGAAGAAGGCCUUCGGGUUGUAAAGUACUUUCAGCGGGGAGGAAGGCGAUGUGGUUAAUAACCGCGUCGAUUGACGUUACCCGCAGAAGAAGCACCGGCUAACUCCGUGCCAGCAGCCGCGGUAAUACGGAGGGUGCAAGCGUUAAUCGGAAUUACUGGGCGUAAAGCGCACGCAGGCGGUCUGUUAAGUCAGAUGUGAAAUCCCCGGGCUUAACCUGGGAACUGCAUUUGAAACUGGCAGGCUUGAGUCUCGUAGAGGGGGGGUAGAAUUCCAGGUGUAGCGGUGAAAUGCGUAGAGAUCUGGAGGAAUACCGGUGGCGAAGGCGGC